Sorghum bicolor (sorghum) is the source of this 1367-nucleotide long non-coding RNA. RefSeq lists it as uncharacterized. The transcript is spliced from 7 exons. Lineage: Eukaryota; Viridiplantae; Streptophyta; Magnoliopsida; Poales; Poaceae. The record is from RefSeq and is a predicted model, not a curated record.
UCACGUCGCCCGUCUCUUGUCCUCCUCCUCCUCCGGUCUGCUGACACCCAACCAUCUCCGAGGAGCUAUCUUCUUCCCCAUGAAGCUUUUAUCCGAUCCUCUCUCGUUUCCCUCAACACACGAACCCGGCCUGCCUAUUAGGUCCAGAUCUGGGGAUGCUAGCGGAUCCGGUGGCCAGCGCCGCCGGCAGCAGAGGGCGACAGCCCCCCGCGUGACGUCAGGCUCCGGCGGCGGCAGCGUCAAGGUGAUCCGGUCUCCCGCUGGCCGCUGCGCUAUUCGAUUUCUUGAUUCGAUUGCGCUGUCUCGUCAAGGCAUCGCCUUUCAUCUCAUGGGUGUUCGGCGGGGCGACACUCGAGCGAUCGAGCGCACCUAACAAUACUGCUCUUGGUCUCUCCGGCUCCCCCAUUCUCCCUUCUCCAGAGAUGGUACAACAAUGUCGAGAUCAGCGACAAGCUGCGGCGGCAUGUGAAGGCGGCCUCCCCAAAUGCAGAUGCAGCAUGAGUUAAGCAAGCGGAGCAGCCGAUCGGCCGAGAGGAGCAGGGCAGCAGGAACGCAAGAAUUCAAGAAGCAGGAAGCCAGGAACGCUGAAACUCCUGUGCAAGAAACCGCUAGGAGAUAAUGCCGCCUAAAAGAAGAAUUGACAGUACAAUUGAUUCUUUUUUCAAGAGGGUAGAUAGAGGUGGUGAUAGACAAUUGGAGCAAGAUAAUUCUCCUGCUGUGGUCCAUGAAGAAGCCCCCAAUCCUGAAGAAAAUAGGCCUGCAGAACCAGAAGUAGUACAAUUCACAACUUCAGACAUUAUAGAUGAUUUCUAUGCUAUGAAGACGUGCAAAGUGAGGCUUAAAUGAAACAAAAUUCACUGCAGGUUUGACAAAAUGGGAUCUGGGCUUUGUGAACCUGAUGAGGAUGACAGUGGAAUAGAGCUUGUCAGGACAUUUCUUCUUCCUUCUCGGCUCAGCCUAGGUGCAUUUACACACAAGCGGCUGGGAAUUGCACAAUCCUAUCGAUUUUAGAAUGAGACACAGCAUGCAUGCGUUACCCACCUCCAUGCAGGUCGGCAAUUUCUAUACAUUCCUAUAGUAGUACCAUUAAGGUAAAGAGCCAACAGAUGUGAUCUUCUGAGACCACUGAUGCAGUGCUCCCUUCAACUGAUGGCCCUCCAUAGCUUAGCUUAUCCGUGGCGAAAUCCACCAGACAUGUAAGCAGACACGAAAUAUAUAGGGAAGUCUUUUCUAUAUGUGCAACACCUAAGCGUUUGGCGAUGAAGGAACCCUCUCUGGCUAAAUAAUCAAUUGGAUAUCAUUGUGAACAUAAUAUUGCAAACCAUGAGGUUUUUUCCCCCAUAUAUAUAUGAACCGCUUUAGUGCUA